Molecule: transfer RNA, 66 nt
Filed under: Elliptorhina chopardi
Lineage: Eukaryota; Metazoa; Arthropoda; Insecta; Blattodea; Blaberidae
Description: tRNA-Ile
Source: RNAcentral
AGUAAAGUGCCUGACAAAAAGGAUUAUCGUGAUAGGGUAAAAAAUGUAAUAUAUUUACCUUUACUA